This 497-nucleotide ribosomal RNA is filed under the name uncultured bacterium. Its description in RNAcentral is "partial 16S ribosomal RNA". It matches the Rfam family "Bacterial small subunit ribosomal RNA", at positions 28 to 507 of the family's 1533-position model. The record is from RNAcentral.
GAUGAACGCUGGCGGCGUGCCUAAUACAUGCAAGUCGAGCGAACAGAUGAGGAGCUUGCUCCUCUGACGUUAGCGGCGGACGGGUGAGUAACACGUGGAUAACCUACCUAUAAGACUGGGAUAACUUCGGGAAACCGGAGCUAAUACCGGAUAAUAUAUUGAACCGCAUGGUUCAAUAGUGAAAGACGGUUUUGCUGUCACUUAUAGAUGGAUCCGCGCCGCAUUAGCUAGUUGGUAAGGUAACGGCUUACCAAGGCGACGAUGCGUAGCCGACCUGAGAGGGUGAUCGGCCACACUGGAACUGAGACACGGUCCAGACUCCUACGGGAGGCAGCAGUAGGGAAUCUUCCGCAAUGGGCGAAAGCCUGACGGAGCAACGCCGCAUGAGUGAUGAAGGUCUUCGGAUCGUAAAACUCUGUUAUUAGGGAAGAACAAAUGUGUAAGUAACUAUGCACGUCUUGACGGUACCUAAUCAGAAAGCCACGGCUAACUACGUG